This 249-nucleotide unclassified non-coding RNA is filed under the name plant metagenome. Its description in RNAcentral is "partial contains small subunit ribosomal RNA, internal transcribed spacer 1, and 5.8S ribosomal RNA". The stretch from base 201 to 249 matches the Rfam family "5.8S ribosomal RNA", at positions 1 to 49 of the family's 154-position model. The record is from RNAcentral.
UCUCCGUAGGUGAACCUGCGGAGGGAUCAUUACAGAGUUCAUGCCCUACCGGGUAGAUCUCCCACCCUAUGUUAUUAUUACUUUGUUGCUUUGGCGGGCCGUUAGGCUCCGGCCCGACUACCGGCCCCGGCUGGUAAGCGCCCGCCAGAGGACCCAAAACCCUGAAUAUUAGUGUCGUCUGAGUACUAUAUAAUAGUUAAAACUUUCAACAACGGAUCUCUUGGUUCUGGCAUCGAUGAAGAAAGCAGC